Molecule: unclassified non-coding RNA, 333 nt
Filed under: soil metagenome
Description: partial contains 5.8S ribosomal RNA, internal transcribed spacer 2, and large subunit ribosomal RNA
Rfam family: 5.8S ribosomal RNA (bases 1-120)
Source: RNAcentral
GAUGAAGAACGUAGCAAAAUGCGAUAAGUAAUGUGAAUUGCAGAAUUCAGUGAAUCAUCGAAUCUUUGAACGCACAUUGCGCCCGCCAGUAUUCUGGCGGGCAUGCCUGUUCGAGCGUCAUUUCAACCCUCAAGCACAGCUUGGUGUUGGGACUCGCGUUAAUUCGCGUUCCCCAAAUUGAUUGGCGGUCACGUCGAGCUUCCAUAGCGUAGUAGUAAAACCCUCGUUACUGGUAAUCGUCGCGGCCACGCCGUUAAACCCCAACUUCUGAAUGUUGACCUCGGAUCAGGUAGGAAUACCCGCUGAACUUAAGCAUAUCAAUAAGCGGAGGAA